UACGGGGGAUGCAAGCGCUAUCCGGAUUUAUUGGGUUUAAAGGGUGCGUAGGCUGUGAGGUAAGUCAGCGGUGAAAUGCCCCCGCUCAACGGGGUGAAGUGCCAUUGAUACUGCCUUGCUGGAAUGCGGAUGCCGUGGGAGGAAUGUGUGGUGUAGCGGUGAAAUGCAUAGAUAUCACACAGAACACCGAUUGCGAAGGCAUCUCACGAAUCCGCUAUUGACGCUGAUGCACGAAAGCGUGGGUAUCAAACAGG
RNAcentral lists this ribosomal RNA (254 nucleotides) under uncultured bacterium. RNAcentral's name for it is "partial 16S ribosomal RNA". It matches the Rfam family "Bacterial small subunit ribosomal RNA", at positions 524 to 776 of the family's 1533-position model. The record is from RNAcentral.